RNAcentral lists this ribosomal RNA (394 nucleotides) under uncultured bacterium. RNAcentral's name for it is "partial 16S ribosomal RNA". It matches the Rfam family "Bacterial small subunit ribosomal RNA", at positions 523 to 918 of the family's 1533-position model. The record is from RNAcentral.
AUACGUAGGGAGCGAGCGUUGUCCGGAAUUACUGGGCGUAAAGGGCGCGUAGGCGGCGCUUCAAGUCGUCUGUCAAAUGGGAGGGCUUCACCCUUUUUCGCAGACGAAACUGGAGAGCUUGAGAAGCAGAGAGGCAAACAGAAUUCCUGGUGUAGCGGGGAAAUGCGUAGAUAUCAGGAAGAAUACCAGUGGCGAAGGCGGUUUGCUGGCUGCAUACUGACGCUGAAGCGCGAAAGCCAGGGGAGCAAACGGGAUUAGAUACCCCGGUAGUCCUGGCAGUAAACGAUGUAUGCUGGGUGUGAGACUAGCGAUAGUUUCGUGCCGAAGUUAACGCGAUAAGCAUACCGCCUGGGGAGUACGGUCGCAAGAUUGAAACUCAAAUGAAUUGGCGGGG